GUGUGUUCCAGGUAAAUCCGGUUCACUUUAACACUGAGGCGUGAUGACGAGGCACUACGGUGCUGAAGCAACAAAUGCCCUGCUUCCAGGAAAAGCCUCUAAGCAUCAGGUAACAUCAAAUCGUACCCCAAACCGACACAGGUGGUCAGGUAGAGAAUACCAAGGCGCUUGAGAGAACUCGGGUGAAGGAACUAGGCAAAAUGGUGCCGUAACUUCGGGAGAAGGCACGCUGACACGUAGGUGAAGUGAUUUACUCAUGGAGCUGAAGUCAGUCGAAGAUACCAGCUGGCUGCAACUGUUUAUUAAAAACACAGCACUGUGCAAACACGAAAGUGGACGUAUACGGUGUGACGCCUGCCCGGUGCCGGAAGGUUAAUUGAUGGGGUCAGCGCAAGCGAAGCUCCUGAUCGAAGCCCCGGUAAACGGCGGCCGUAACUAUAACGGUCCUAAGGUAGCGAAAUUCCUUGUCGGGUAAGUUCCGACCUGCACGAAUGGCGUAAUGAUGGCCAGGCUGUCUCCACCCGAGACUCAGUGAAAUUGAACUCGCUGUGAAGAUGCAGUGUACCCGCGGCAAGACGGAAAGACCCCGUGAACCUUUACUAUAGCUUGACACUGAACAUUGAGCCUUGAUGUGUAGGAUAGGUGGGAGGCUUUGAAGUGUGGACGCCAGUCUGCAUGGAGCCGGCCUUGAAAUACCACCCUUUAAUGUUUGAUGUUCUAACGUGGACCCGUGAUCCGGGUUGCGGACAGUGUCUGGUGGGUAGUUUGACUGGGGCGGUCUCCUCCUAAAGAGUAACGGAGGAGCACGAAGGUUGGCUAAUCCUGGUCGGACAUCAGGAGGUUAGUGCAAUGGCAUAAGCCAGCUUGACUGCGAGCGUGACGGCGCGAGCAGGUGCGAAAGCAGGUCAUAGUGAUCCGGUGGUUCUGAAUGGAAGGGCCAUCGCUCAACGGAUAAAAGGUACUCCGGGGAUAACAGGCUGAUACCGCCCAAGAGUUCAUAUCGACGGCGGUGUUUGGCACCUCGAUGUCGGCUCAUCACAUCCUGGGGCUGAAGUAGGUCCCAAGGGUAUGGCUGUUCGCCAUUUAAAGUGGUACGCGAGCUGGGUUUAGAACGUCGUGAGACAGUUCGGUCCCUAUCUGCCGUGGGCGCUGGAGAACUGAGGGGGGCUGCUCCUAGUACGAGAGGACCGGAGUGGACGCAUCACUGGUGUUCGGGUUGUCAUGCCAAUGGCACUGCCCGGUAGCUAAAUGCGGAAGAGAUAAGUGCUGAAAGCAUCUAAGCACGAAACUUGCCCCGAGAUGAGUUCUCCCUGAGACUUAGAGUCUCCUGAAGGAACGUUGAAGACGACGACGUUGAUAGGCCGGGUGUGUAAGCGCAGCGAUGCGUUGAGCUAACCGGUACUAAUGAACCGUGAGGCUUAACCUUACA
RNAcentral lists this ribosomal RNA (1429 nucleotides) under Salmonella enterica. RNAcentral's name for it is "partial 23S ribosomal RNA". It matches the Rfam family "Bacterial large subunit ribosomal RNA", at positions 1525 to 2925 of the family's 2925-position model. Lineage: Bacteria; Pseudomonadati; Pseudomonadota; Gammaproteobacteria; Enterobacterales; Enterobacteriaceae. The record is from RNAcentral.